This 1390-nucleotide ribosomal RNA is filed under the name bacterium NLAE-zl-P920. RNAcentral's name for it is "16S ribosomal RNA". It matches the Rfam family "Bacterial small subunit ribosomal RNA". The record is from RNAcentral.
AGUCGAGGGGCAGCAUUUCAGUUUGCUUGCAAACUGGAGAUGGCGACCGGCGCACGGGUGAGUAACACGUAUCCAACCUGCCGAUAACUCGGGGAUAGCCUUUCGAAAGAAAGAUUAAUACCCGAUGGUAUAAUCAGACCGCAUGGUCUUAUUAUUAAAGAAUUUCGGUUAUCGAUGGGGAUGCGUUCCAUUAGGCAGUUGGUGAGGUAACGGCUCACCAAACCUUCGAUGGAUAGGGGUUCUGAGAGGAAGGUCCCCCACAUUGGAACUGAGACACGGUCCAAACUCCUACGGGAGGCAGCAGUGAGGAAUAUUGGUCAAUGGGCGCAGGCCUGAACCAGCCAAGUAGCGUGAAGGAUGACUGCCCUAUGGGUUGUAAACUUCUUUUAUAUGGGAAUAAAGUUUUCCACGUGUGGAAAUUUGUAUGUACCAUAUGAAUAAGGAUCGGCUAACUCCGUGCCAGCAGCCGCGGUAAUACGGAGGAUCCGAGCGUUAUCCGGAUUUAUUGGGUUUAAAGGGAGCGUAGGUGGACAGUUAAGUCAGUUGUGAAAGUUUGCGGCUCAACCGUAAAAUUGCAGUUGAUACUGGCUGUCUUGAGUACAGUAGAGGUGGGCGGAAUUCGUGGUGUAGCGGUGAAAUGCUUAGAUAUCACGAAGAACUCCGAUUGCGAAGGCAGCUCACUGGACUGCAACUGACACUGAUGCUCGAAAGUGUGGGUAUCAAACAGGAUUAGAUACCCUGGUAGUCCACACAGUAAACGAUGAAUACUCGCUGUUUGCGAUAUACAGUAAGCGGCCAAGCGAAAGCAUUAAGUAUUCCACCUGGGGAGUACGCCGGCAACGGUGAAACUCAAAGGAAUUGACGGGGGCCCGCACAAGCGGAGGAACAUGUGGUUUAAUUCGAUGAUACGCGAGGAACCUUACCCGGGCUUAAAUUGCAUUUGAAUAAUNUGGAAACAGGNUAGCCGCNAAGGCAAAUGUGAAGGUGCUGCAUGGUUGUCGUCAGCUCGUGCCGUGAGGUGUCGGCUUAAGUGCCAUAACGAGCGCAACCCUUAUCUUUAGUUACUAACAGGUCAUGCUGAGGACUCUAGAGAGACUGCCGUCGUAAGAUGUGAGGAAGGUGGGGAUGACGUCAAAUCAGCACGGCCCUUACGUCCGGGGCUACACACGUGUUACAAUGGGGGGUACAGAAGGCAGCUACCUGGUGACAGGAUGCUAAUCCCAAAAGCCUCUCUCAGUUCGGAUCGAAGUCUGCAACCCGACUUCGUGAAGCUGGAUUCGCUAGUAAUCGCGCAUCAGCCAUGGCGCGGUGAAUACGUUCCCGGGCCUUGUACACACCGCCCGUCAAGCCAUGAAAGCCGGGGGUACCUGAAGUACGUAACCGCAAGGAG